RNAcentral lists this ribosomal RNA (877 nucleotides) under Serpula himantioides. RNAcentral's name for it is "eukaryotic LSU rRNA". It matches the Rfam family "Eukaryotic large subunit ribosomal RNA", at positions 67 to 915 of the family's 3401-position model. The record is from RNAcentral. Lineage: Eukaryota; Fungi; Basidiomycota; Agaricomycetes; Boletales; Serpulaceae.
AACAAGGAUUCCCCUANUAACUGCGAGUGAAGCGGGAAGAGCUCAAAUUUUGAAUCUGGCGGUCCUCGUGGUCGUCCGAGUUGUAAUCUAGAGAAGCGUUUUCCGCGCUGGACCGUGUACAAGUCUCCUGGAACGGAGCGUCAUAGAGGGUGAGAAUCCCGUCUCUGACACGGACUACCAGGGCUUUUGUGAUGCGCUCUCGACGAGUCGAGUUGUUUGGGAAUGCAGCUCAAAUUGGGUGGUAAAUUCCAUCUAAAGCUAAAUACAGGCGAGAGACCGAUAGCGAACAAGUACCGUGAGGGAAAGAUGAAAAGAACUUUGGAAAGAGAGUUAAACAGUACGUGAAAUUGCUGAAAGGGAAACGCUUGAAGUCAGUCGCGUUGGCCGGGGAUCAGCCUUGCAAUCUUGUUGGGUGCAUUUCCUGGUUGACGGGUCAGCAUCGAUUUUGACCGUCGGAGAAGGGUCGAGGGAAUGUGGCAUCCUUCGGGGUGUGUUAUAGCCUUUGAUCGUAUGCGACGGUUGGGAUCGAGGAACUCAGCAUGACCCCUCGUGGGUUUGGGGCUUCGGCUCACAUCCAUGCUUAGGAUGCUGGCAUAAUGGCUUUAAGCGACCCGUCUUGAAACACGGACCAAGGAGUCUAACAUGCCCGCGAGUGUUUGGGUGUUUAAAACCCGAGCGCGUAAUGAAAGUGAAAGUUGAGACCUCUGUCGUGGAGGGCAUCGACGCCCGGACCAGAACUUUUGUGACGGCCCUGCGGUAGAGCGUGUAUGUUGGGACCCGAAAGAUGGUGAACUAUGCCUGAAUAGGGUGAAGCCAGAGGAAACUCUGGUGGAGGCUCGUAGCGAUUCUGACGUGCAAAUCGAUCGUCGAAUUUGGG